AUUGAACGCUGGCGGCAUGCUUUACGCAUGCAAGUCGAACGGUAACAGGCCGCAAGGUGCUGACGAGUGGCGAACGGGUGAGUAAUGCAUCGGAACGUGCCCAGUCGUGGGGGAUAACUACUCGAAAGAGUAGCUAAUACCGCAUACGAUCUAUGGAUGAAAGCGGGGGACCGUAAGGCCUCGCGCGAUUGGAGCGGCCGAUGUCAGAUUAGGUAGUUGCUGGGGUAAAGGCUCACCAAGCCAACGAUCUGUAGCCGGUCUGAGAGGACGACCAGCCACACUGGGACUGAGACACGGCCCAGACUCCUACGGGAGGCAGCAGUGGGGAAUUUUGGACAAUGGGCGCAAGCCUGAUCCAGCAAUGCCGCGUGCAGGAAGAAGGCCUUCGGGUUGUAAACUGCUUUUGUACGGAACGAAACGGCUCUGGUUAAUACCCGGGGCUAAUGACGGUACCGUAAGAAUAAGCACCGGCUAACUACGUG
RNAcentral lists this ribosomal RNA (482 nucleotides) under uncultured bacterium. RNAcentral's name for it is "partial 16S ribosomal RNA". It matches the Rfam family "Bacterial small subunit ribosomal RNA", at positions 30 to 507 of the family's 1533-position model. The record is from RNAcentral.